CCUACGGGUGGCAGCAGUGAGGAAUAUUGGUCAAUGGGCGCGAGCCUGAACCAGCCAAGUAGCGUGAAGGAUGACUGCCCUACGGGUUGUAAACUUCUUUUAUAAAGGAAUAAAGUGAGGCACGUGUGCCUUUUUGUACGUACUUUAUGAAUCAGGAACGGCUAACUCCGUGCCAGCAGCCGCGGUAAUACGGAGGAUCCGAGCGUUAUCCGGAUUUAUUGGGUUUAAAGGGAGCGUAGAUGGGUUGUUAAGUCCGUUGUGAAAGUUUGCGGCUCAACCGUAGAAUUGCAAUUGAUACUGGCAGCCUUGAGUGCAGUUGAGGUAGGCGGAAUUCGUGGUGUAGCGGUGAAAUGCUUAGAUAUCACGAAGAACACCGAUUGCGAAGGCAGCUUACUAAACUGCCACUGACAUUGAUGCUCGAAAGUGUGGGGAGCAAACAGGAUUAGAUACCCCAGUAGUC
Molecule: ribosomal RNA, 460 nt
Filed under: uncultured bacterium
Lineage: Bacteria
Description: partial 16S ribosomal RNA
Rfam family: Bacterial small subunit ribosomal RNA
Source: RNAcentral